Molecule: ribosomal RNA, 496 nt
Filed under: uncultured bacterium
Lineage: Bacteria
Description: partial 16S ribosomal RNA
Rfam family: Bacterial small subunit ribosomal RNA
Source: RNAcentral
GAUGAACGCUAGCGGCGGGCCUAAUACAUGCAAGUCGAACGGGAUUAGGUAGCAAUAUCUAUGAGAGUGGCGCACGGGUGCGUAACACGUAUGUAACCUACCUUUAACUGGGGAAUAGCUUCGAGAAAUCGAAAUUAAUACCCCAUAACAUUUAGAAAAGGCAUCUUUUCUUUAUCAAAGCUCAGGCGGUUAAAGAUGGACAUGCGGUGCAUUAGCUUGUUGGUGGGGUAACGGCCUACCAAGACUACGAUGUCCAGGGGUUCUGAGAGGAAGGUCCCCCACACUGGUACUGAGACACGGUCCAAACUCCUACGGGAGGCAGCAGUGAGGAAUAUUGGUCAAUGGGCGGAAGCCUGAACCAGCCAAGUAGCGUGCAGGAUGACGGCCCUAUGGGUUGUAAACUGCUUUUAUACAGGAAUAAAGUUAGCCACGUGUGGUUAUUUGUAGGUACUGUAUGAAUAAGGACCGGCUAAUUCCGUGCCAGCAGCCGCCGUAA